UACAGAGGUCCCAAGCGUUGUUCGGAUUCACUGGGCGUAAAGGGUGCGUAGGUGGUUAGGUAAGUCCGAUGUGAAAUCUCCAGGCUCAACCUGGAAAUGGCAUUGGAUACUAUCCGGCUUGAGGAGUGGAGGGGGGACUGGAAUUCUCGGUGUAGCAGUGAAAUGCGUAGAUAUCGAGAGGAACACCAGUGGCGAAGGCGAGUCCCUGGACAUUUCCUGACGCUGAGGCACGAAAGCCAGGGGAGCAAACGGG
This 253-nucleotide ribosomal RNA is filed under the name uncultured bacterium. RNAcentral's name for it is "partial 16S ribosomal RNA". It matches the Rfam family "Bacterial small subunit ribosomal RNA", at positions 524 to 776 of the family's 1533-position model. The record is from RNAcentral.